This 624-nucleotide ribosomal RNA is filed under the name uncultured bacterium. RNAcentral's name for it is "bacterial SSU rRNA". It matches the Rfam family "Bacterial small subunit ribosomal RNA", at positions 56 to 670 of the family's 1533-position model. The record is from RNAcentral.
UGCAAGUCGAGGGGAAACGAUGGGAGGGCUUGCCCUCCCAGGCGUCGACCGGCGCACGGGUGAGUAACACGUAUCCAACCUGCCCUCUUCCGGGGAACAACCUUGCGAAAGUAAGACUAAUGCCCCAUGUGUCCUCAGAUGGCAUCAGACGAGGACGAAAGAUUUAUCGGAAGUGGAUGGGGAUGCGCCUGAUUAGGCAGUUGGCGGGGCAACGGCCCACCAAGCCGACGAUCAGUAGGGGUUCUGAGAGGAAGGUCCCCCACAUUGGAACUGAGACACGGUCCAAACUCCUACGGGAGGCAGCAGUGAGGAAUAUUGGUCAAUGGGCGAGAGCCUGAACCAGCCAAGUAGCGUGCAGGAUGACGGCCCUAUGGGUUGUAAACUGCUUUUGCGCGGGGAUAAAGUGCGCCACGUGUGGCGCAUUGCAGGUACCGCGCGAAUAAGGACCGGCUAAUUCCGUGCCAGCAGCCGCGGUAAUACGGAAGGUCCGGGCGUUAUCCGGAUUCAUUGGGUUUAAAGGGAGCGCAGGCCGCCCCUUAAGCGUGUUGUGAAAUGCCGCGGCUCAACCGUGGCACUGCAGCGCGAACUGGGGGGCUUGAGUGCGCGCAGCGCAGGCGGAACUCG